RNAcentral lists this long non-coding RNA (571 nucleotides) under Phoenix dactylifera (date palm). RNAcentral describes it as "long non-coding RNA (PDAC_LNC005141)". Lineage: Eukaryota; Viridiplantae; Streptophyta; Magnoliopsida; Arecales; Arecaceae. The record is from RNAcentral.
UGUUGCGCAUGUGAAUUGAGAUUGGGGAUGUCCAAAAUUUCAAAAAUUACGGAUAUCAUGACAUUAUAAUAAUAUCUAUUAUUUAAACCAUGAGUCAUAAUCUUAUGUAUGUUUGGAGGGGAAAAAAUCAAGACCAUGGAAAGAAAUGGCCAAAGAAUAAAUGAGAACCAUACUACAAACUCCCGGUAUUGAUCGUACAUAUAUUUGUUUAGGAGUCGCUAGGUUUUAAUCAAACAAAAACAAAAAGUCGCGAGGUUGGCGUGGAGGUGCAUUACUCAAUGUACACCACAUGCGAGUAGUAGUGCUAGCUAUUGGCAUAUUGGUAAAAGACUGAACCCUUGAGAAUAAUUAAUGUAGCCUUCGUUUUAAGUAAGUUGGCAUUUGAGUAAGUGCCCCAUGCGCUAGUACUCGGCCAAUCACUUGCAUUUCUCUAUUAAUUGAUGGGUAAGCUUAGAUGAGCAAAUAAGGACCAGAUAUCUCCAAUCACAUGCAAUUCUAUAUUAGUCGUUGGGUAAAGCUUAGAUGAGCAAAUAGGGACAAGAUAUCUCCAUGUUCUUCUGCCCAAAACGGU